Molecule: ribosomal RNA, 375 nt
Filed under: Triticum aestivum (bread wheat)
Lineage: Eukaryota; Viridiplantae; Streptophyta; Magnoliopsida; Poales; Poaceae
Description: partial small subunit ribosomal RNA
Source: RNAcentral
AUGCCAAUCUCGUCUCGCUGUUCGUCUGUUCGUCGAGGGAAACUACUCCGCCGGGAAUUGAAGGCAAAAAAUUACUCUUCAGUUUCUCUUCAGGCAUUCAUGUUGGAUGAUGUCCACCUCUCGCUUGCGUUGAUUAAUGGAUGUCUGCCUCUUUGUUUUCCCAUCCUUCAGCUGCCGUGUAUAUAUGCUUUCUCCCUUACCUUUUUCGAUCCGGCGACAAAACAUCCAUCAACGUGGUGCUCUGCUAGUGUUGUUCAUCAUACUGGCUUAUGCUCAAUUGAUUCGGGCCGAUCUUGGAGACUGGAUGUCACAUUUUUUUGUUUCGGGAAUUCUCAGCUCAUAUCUCCAAUGGCUUCUAGAGCGGGUAAUUCUUAG